UAAUGGAAGAAACGAGAAAGCCACCUAACCAUGACUUUAUGGUUUGCCCACCUUUUCACAAGCUCUCUCAACAUAAACUCAUCAUGCUUCUCUCUUAAGGAUGGCAAUACCGUCGAAGUGAUGUAUUCUUCAAAAGACUCACGGUACUUGUCAUACAGUUGUUGGGAGUAAUCAUGAGGGGGCUUUUGUGUACACAUGUUGUAAAUGGUUGUGUAGAGCAUCAUGUAGUCCUCAGAGCUGAACUUUGGCUCUGGCAACCCUUCUAGGAUGUUCUUCAGCUUUGUUAUCCCCUUUUG
RNAcentral lists this unclassified non-coding RNA (296 nucleotides) under Hevea brasiliensis (rubber tree). Lineage: Eukaryota; Viridiplantae; Streptophyta; Magnoliopsida; Malpighiales; Euphorbiaceae. The record is from RNAcentral.